CCCUUCUAUGAAGGCAUGUCUUUUGUUCCCAUAUCUUUGGACACAUAAGAAUUUGAGGCAAGAAAAUUGAGAAUUUGGAGAUAUCUGGGGCCAGCUUGUUCCCUGCAGACUUAAGAUGAGCUGUCCCACAUAA
Fukomys damarensis (Damara mole-rat) is the source of this 133-nucleotide small nucleolar RNA. The record is from Ensembl. NCBI's taxonomy places the organism in Eukaryota, Metazoa, Chordata, Mammalia, Rodentia, Bathyergidae.